Molecule: ribosomal RNA, 238 nt
Filed under: uncultured bacterium
Lineage: Bacteria
Description: partial 16S ribosomal RNA
Rfam family: Bacterial small subunit ribosomal RNA
Source: RNAcentral
CGGCGGACGGGUGAGUAACGCGUGGGUAACCUGCCUCAUACAGGGGGAUAACAGUUGGAAACGGCUGCUAAUACCGCAUAAGCGCACAGUACCGCAUGGUACGGUGUGAAAAACUCCGGUGGUAUGAGAUGGACCCGCGUCUGAUUAGCUAGUUGGUGAGGUAACGGCCCACCAAGGCGACGAUCAGUAGCCGACCUGAGAGGGUGACCGGCCACAUUGGGACUGAGACACGGCCCAA